This 462-nucleotide ribosomal RNA is filed under the name uncultured Desulfobulbus sp. Its description in RNAcentral is "bacterial SSU rRNA". It matches the Rfam family "Bacterial small subunit ribosomal RNA", at positions 925 to 1382 of the family's 1533-position model. The record is from RNAcentral. Lineage: Bacteria; Pseudomonadati; Thermodesulfobacteriota; Desulfobulbia; Desulfobulbales; Desulfobulbaceae.
ACAAGCGGUGGAGUAUGUGGUUUAAUUCGAUGCAACGCGAAGAACUUACCUGGUCUUGACAUCCCAGAAAUCCCUUGGAAACUUGGGAGUGCUUCCAUUAGGAAGAAUCUGGAGACAGGUGCUGCAUGGCUGUCGUCAGCUCGUGUCGUGAGAUGUUGGGUUAAGUCCCGCAACGAGCGCAACCCUUGCCUUUAGUUGCCAGCAGUUCGGCUGGGCACUCUAAAGGGACUGCCGGUGUUAAACCGGAGGAAGGUGGGGAUGACGUCAAGUCCUCAUGGCCUUUAUGACCAGGGCUACACACGUACUACAAUGGCCGAUACAAAGGGCAGCGACAUUGCGAAAUGAAGCCAAUCCCAUAAAUUCGGUCUCAGUCCGGAUUGGAGUCUGCAACUCGACUCCAUGAAGUUGGAAUCGCUAGUAAUCGUGGAUCAGCAUGCCACGGUGAAUACGUUCCCGGGCCUU